Molecule: long non-coding RNA, 375 nt
Filed under: Callithrix jacchus (white-tufted-ear marmoset)
Lineage: Eukaryota; Metazoa; Chordata; Mammalia; Primates; Cebidae
Description: lncRNA (ENSCJAG00000073177.1)
Source: RNAcentral
CAUGAAGCUUUUCUUUAUUCUUUCAGUUAUAAUUAAUUGUUCUUUCUUUUGUUAUAGUUUUAGCAAUAACUACUGUGAAUUUGCAUGUGUCCAGUUCAUUGUAUUGGGAAUCUCUUGAGGCCAACUCCAACCCGGAACCAUGCAGAGAAGAGAGAUCUGGGACCACAGCUACAGCUUAGUCAUGCCGACACUGUGCACAGUCACCCCAACAAGUGCUGUCCCUGGCCCUCCACAUCAUGUUUCACCUUUGUACUAAGCUAAUUAUUUAAUCACCAUGUUAUUUAAAAAAAAAAAAAAAAAGCAAGAAUUUGGCGCUGGCUGCUGUGGUGCUUUUUUGUUGCAAGUGUGUUUUCUCUAGACCGAUUUUCGGUGUUC